RNAcentral lists this ribosomal RNA (440 nucleotides) under uncultured bacterium. Its description in RNAcentral is "partial 16S ribosomal RNA". It matches the Rfam family "Bacterial small subunit ribosomal RNA", at positions 338 to 795 of the family's 1533-position model. The record is from RNAcentral.
CCUACGGGUGGCAGCAGUGGGGGAUAUUGCACAAUGGGGGGAACCCUGAUGCAGCGACGCCGCGUGGGUGAAGAAGGGCCUCGGCGCGUAAAGCCCUGUCAGCAGGGAAGAAAAUGACGGUACCUGAAGAAGAAGCCACGGGUAACUACGGGCCAGCAGCCGCGGUAACACGGGGGGGGCAAGCGUUAUCCGGAUUUACUGGGGGUAAAGGGGGCGUAGGCGGCGGUGCGAGCCAGGAGGGAAAGCCCGGGGCCCAACCCCCGGACUGCUCUUGAUACUGCGUGGCUGGAGUGCAGGAGGGGCAUGCGGAAUGCGUGGUGUAGCGGUGAAAUGCGUAGAUAUCAGGAGGAACACCGAUGGCGAAGGCAGCCUGCUGGACUGCAACUGACGUUGAGGCACGAAAGCGUGGGGAGCAAACAGGAUUAGAUACCCCAGUAGUC